RNAcentral lists this long non-coding RNA (27084 nucleotides) under Citrus sinensis (sweet orange). RNAcentral's name for it is "long non-coding RNA (CSIN_LNC001939)". The record is from RNAcentral. Lineage: Eukaryota; Viridiplantae; Streptophyta; Magnoliopsida; Sapindales; Rutaceae.
UUUUGUCUUCAGGUUAUUGCACAAUGUUUACUCUAAAUUAUUUACUAUUUGUUUGUGAAGUGCAAUCAAUUCAGUGGUUGUCUUGCUAAGCUCCUUUUAUUUUCCUUUUAUUCUUUGUCAAUACUUUCUCACAGUUGGAAAUGACUUAUUUGAUACUUCUCUUUAUGCUAUUAUACGUUUUGUCUAUCAAAUCUAGCUUCCCAAACAUAUUAAUUGAGAAAGCCACCGUGAUAUCUUUACUCAUGUUCUUGGUAUUGUUUUUGUCAUUAUCAUUAUAAAAAGAUGAGAUAUUGGGUGCUAACGUGGUUGAUUUGUUUAUGCUAAGGUGAAAGGCUAGGUUUAAAAUGAAUAUAUAUUGGUAGUAUGGUUAACCAUAACACCUUGAGUUUGUUUGUGGAAGGGUCAUUCUUUGCUAUUAUUUUAUCUUUUAUUUUUCAAAGAUCUGAGCAGCUUGCAGUCUUGUUUUAGAGGUAGCAAGAUGCAGGGAGAGACCUUUUAUAUCCCAAAGGCGUACAUUUAGUAUAUACAAAUGGAUUGCCUAAAGUGGAGUUGUCUAUUAACUCCAAUGUAACCACUUUAACUUUUAUUGUUGCAUCUAUCAACAAACAUAUGAAUAUACCUAUUUACACCAAUUAAAUACUAUCCGAAACUUGUGGUAUUAACUAUUAGCCAGUUUUCACUCUUUUUAGUUUUGAACAGAUUCCUGAUGCAUGCUCAAUUGUGUACUACAUGAUACAGACUGCUUUGCUCUCUGUCCAUGACCUUUUUUGCCAAUACGUGUACAUUAUGUACAAUGAAAUUGAUGGUAGAAUUAAUUUUACUAAUGUGGUAAUAGUCUUUUUCAAUGUGCAGUAACUGAGGACUUCUCUUGUCCGUUUUGCUUGAUGCAAUGUGCGUGCUUCAAGGUGGAUAAUGAUGUAACUUUUGUGCUUGUGUUUGUCUUUCCAAGCUCAAUUUGAACUUCAACCUAAACUAUAUAUAUAUAUAUAUAUAUAUAUUUAAUGUUUGUUUUGCUUUCAAUUAAUACAUUUUGCUAGAUGACCCUCACAAAAGAUAUUUACGUAAUUGUCUUGGCAUUUGUUAGAUAUAGAUCAGUACUUAAUCUUUUAUUGGAAAUGUUCAGUCAAUUAAUUAUGUUGAUACCAGCAAUGGUACUUUUGUUUCUGUUUGCAGGGUCUGCGGUAUCAUUUGUGCUCAUCACAUGAUUUAUUCAACUACGAGUUCUGGGUUGGUAAUUUAGAAUAUCAAGUCAGUUGCUGCUUAUGGGGACCUUCUGGAAAGACUAGUCAAGAAACAUUUGUUUUGUAGGUUACUGACGAUUAUCAGGCAGUGAACAUCUCUGUGAAAAUUGAUACACUGACAUCUGAGGUUGGAAUUCAUUUUCUUCAUGCUGGAAGUUCUAUGGACUUAUUUUCUUCUUUGAUGUUAUGUUGCCUUGUGCAAAACUAACAUUUUCAGCAAAAUUGACUUAAAAGGAUAUUAGAUUACUGGUACCUCAUUUUUACUUAGAAUCCUCACAGUACGUCUUUCCCUGGACCAAUUAGAUUGUGGGUCAUGUAUAAUCUUGCAUUUGUCUGCAGAUACUUCCAUAACAAUGUAAUUUAUUAUGUCUAGAAAUUUUUUAAAGCCCAUUCACCAACGCUGUGUUUAGCUAUGGGACCUGUUAGAACUUCUCGUUUGGCAGAUAUAAUUUCUCCAACCAUUAAGCAUUGGUAAGCCAUAUGAUCUUAUCUCAUCUUGAUGUUCUUGUUACAGAUUGUAGCAGGUGGAGUAGACCCACGGCUACAAACAUUUUUCUUCUGGUAGGUUUUAUAUCAUUGGGUACAGUGUGUAUCUCAUAGUUAAUAUCCCUUUUUUUAUGAGCAUUAAUAAUGAGAAUUACAAAGGCGAAAUGAAUUGUAUGUGCAGCGCAAAGCCACGAAGUCGUAAGCGAAAGAACCUUGCAGAGCAUGAAAAACAAGUUAACAUACAAUUCUUGGAAUUGGACUCGCCGGGAUUACCCACUGAUGAUGCAAAUGGAGAGUUUGCUGCAAAGGAUGAUGGUAAUAACUUUUUUCUCAAAGCCUUGUAGGGUUGUUUUAGCAGAUUUCUUUAUUUUAAACAUAGAGUUUCCAAAACAAUGCAAUGGUUGUGGAGGUGUUAUCCAUAUGAACUCAUUAGUUCUUGAACUUCUCUCUCCCUCAAUGUCUUGAUUUAUGUUUUGCUCUCCAUUAGGCCGGUAGCUUAAGAUAGUGGAAGAGCCAUUUUUGAAAAAUAAAUGAAAGCCUCAUUUAGGCCCUUUUAGUCAUUGGCCUUUUGUGGACCCACAUUCUUUCUUUGCCCCUUUUCUCUUAUGCUUCUUGUUUUCCUUCUUUCCUCAUUUUCACCCAUCUUUUACUAUGUUUUACUUUGAGGGGGUUGACAGUGGGAUAUGAGUUGAGUUUAGUGCUUAGAACACAAGCAAGAAAUACCAGUGUAAAUAUUCAUUUAUUUUGGUUUCCUCUCAUUUCAUGCUCUCUUGGAAGGUGGAAAACUAACGUUAUGGUUCUGAAAUUCUGUAAAGGUGAGAGGGAUUCCAAGUUAUCUCCUAGUGGAAGAAAAUUGCCAAAUGGAAGGGAUGGAGGAAUAACCUCUGGUUUUAAUGGAGCAGAUUGCAUUGAAGGUGUUGCAUCCAGUUUCAAUGGUCCUGAUGUACCAAUUGCCAUGGCUCAAUCUUCUAUGGACCCUGAGUGUGUUAAAUCAUUAUCUGGAACUGAUGCUGUAGCCCCUGCUAUGCUGCAUGUUGUAAAAUCUAGGAAGUUAAGCACAGAACGGUCAGACCCUAGAAAGUAUAUAUACCAGUUUGCCGCUUUAUUUCGUUAAUAUUGCUAAGUGUUGAUAUUUCCAUCUUUCCCCUUUUGAUUUGUUUUCCAAAAGCAUUGCUUCUCUUUCCAAGGAAGUAUAUUACCAUGCGCAUACUAAAGUCCCAAUAUUUUGUGCAUCCUUGUUCACUUUGUACCUUUCAAACUUUAUGCAGCCGUGCACUUCUCUCCAAACGCCUGUUCUAUCAUUCUCACCGAGUUCAGGUAACUGACAACAUCAGACCAGUUUUCUAUCUGCCUGUUCCUUCUGUUCAAGUUUGUCGUGCAUUUUUGCAUUGUUGAUUGCUGAAUUUUCUUCGGUAUGGCAAGGAAAGACAUGUAUGAAUGUUAUAUUCCUUACAGUUACUGAUGAAACUCCAAUAGAACUUUGGUACUUCUCAAAUCUACUAACUGGUUUCUAUUGAGAGUUUUCAGAGAAUAGGUGUAUUCUGGUUUAUAAACAUGUUUGUAAACAUGUGGCUCAUUACCUUUAGUGCUCAUAAGUAGAUAACAGUAUUUUGAAGAUGUUUAUGUUGGGAUCUUUGUUGUCUUUAAAAUUAGGAAGGAUGAUUUUCUUAAUGGUCUAUGUGUUGAAUAUGUUCAUAUGACUUUUUAAGUUGGGUUUUUAUUGAUAGACAUUUUUUAUUUGCUUCAGCAUGUGGAGUUACUUAUUACUGUAUAAUUCUACUUUGCAUCUUUGAUGAAUAGGAUGUUUCAGAGCUUUUUGAUAUUGUCUAGAGACUAAUUUAUGCUUAUACUGCAUUUCUUUUUCUUAUAAUAUCUUAUACCUUAAUCCAUAUAGUCUUUCUUUCCUCUCAACUCUUACCCAAUAAUUGAAUCAUUCUUUUUUGCACUUGAAGCCUAUGGCGAUAGAACAAGUAACGUCCAAUGAAGAUAGUGAGGAUGAAGUUGAUGAUGACAUUGCAGAUUUUGAAGAUCGGCGGGUAUGCGUGUAGAUUUGGUUGCUAUGUUUUGGUUCUUUCCUACGAUAAGAUUAUUGUUAGGCUAACAAAAAUUGCUUUCUUUUUGCCUUCCAAGUUAUGUGAAAUUAAUUUAAAUAUUUGAAGUAAUAUUUUGUAUUCUGUCAAGAAGGGUUUACUCCCCAACUCCUUUGCAUUCUUCUACAUUGAGAAAGCAAUGCGUUCUGAGGAAAGGACAUAGAGUAGGGCAUUAUAUUCUCUUAACUGCAGAGGCAUGGGGAUCAAUCUUUGAAGGAUCACUGUAAGAGUGUGUAAUGAGAGCAUGAAGAGUUCAAGUCAUUAUAACGAGUUUCUUAUGCUUAAUCUCACUAUGACAAGUAUUUACUGGCUUUGAGGAAAUUGGAUUGAAUUAGAAGAUAAGAACACCAUAUAGGUGGCUGUCUCUUCUUCUUACCUGUCAAACAAUAAUUUGGUCCUGUUUACUUCUGGCUUAUUGUUAUUUCUUGUAUGCUUUAUCAAGUUUCUAAAUAUUUAUCCCUUAUAUUUUGCCAUCAUAGAAUUAAUUCAACUAUGACUGUUUCAUGGUUGCUUUUGGCUUAGUUCUGUGGAACAGUAAGUGUAACCGGUUUCAGCUUCACCUCCUCAACACAUCCGUUUCCCCUUCCUUGUGUGCUCUCUGUCCCAGAUCUUGAACUGUUGAUUUUGAGGUUUUGUCUCAAAUAAAAUCAAAGAACCAGAAGAGUGAUUACAAUUUAUGCAAAUAUUAUAUCCAGAUUUCUGAUGCCUAACAAAGCUUAAGUUGGACUCUUAUAUGAAAUGUUUUCAUUUUAUGCUGUUAGGAACCUGGAAACAUUAUAUUAAAUUGGCAUGUUGCAGAUGCUUGAUGAUUUUGUGGAUGUUAGCAAAGAUGAGAAGCAGCUGAUGCAUCUUUGGAACUCCUUUGUCAGAAAGCAACGGUAGUUAUUGUUUCCCACUUAAAGCUUUCAAUUUUAUUUUUUUUGGGUCGCCCCAGUUCCAUAUAUUCUUUGUUUGUUUCCUUCAAUUCUUUUAUGUCAAGAUGUUUAGGAAAUUAAUGUAUAGGAGGUGAACUAUCUUAUGCAUUUUUCAUGCGAAAAAGAAAGGAAAAAAGAAAUAUCUUAGAAGGGUAUAUCCCACUGUGACAGGGUCCUGGCUGAUGGUCAUGUUCCUUGGGCAUGUGAAGCAUUUUCCAAACUUCAUGGACGGGAGCUUGUCCUCUCUCCAGCUCUAUUUUGGUGUUGGAGGCUGUUCAUGAUAAAACUGUGGAAUCAUGGCCUUCUUGAUGGCUGCACAAUGAAUAAUUGUAAUAUGAUUCUUGAAAAAUGUCGAGAUGAGGAAUCAGAUACUGGGAAAAGCUGAAGAGGACAGACUAACAAUCUCGGCUCGUGGGAGUGCAGAAAUAAGACAGUGCCUGUAACAUUGGUUCUUCUGUUACUCAAUUCUUCCUGAUAUCCUUUAACACAUUUUUUCAACACAUUUUUUCUACUUGUAUCAGUAGAUUGUAGAUGGAGUAAUUAAUUCUUUCGCAUACAAAGAAGUCAGCUGUAGUGAAUCGGCCAACUUGUCACUGUUGUUAUCUCAUUAUUCACUAUUCAGUGUUAUUGACACGAUAAUCGCCAUUUAUGAUUUACCCUUACGGAGGCAACCUAGGCGCCAAUCUAGUUGGUAAGAGUCAAUUGUAAAUGUUGGAGCGGGUUGAUAUGUUAUAUAGCUCGGUAUGUUUAAGUGAAACUUGAUUUGAUCUUAUUCUGAGUACUGAUUGGGAAGUUGUCUCUGUAUCUAUUAAAAUAUUGAAGAGCAAAGUCGCGCAAGCUUUCAAUGAGAAGGAUGCGGCAGUGCUUAGACAUUGCUUGUGUUCAGUUCUGCGAAAGAAACUCAGGUAUGGCAAAAGAUGUCUUAAUGGUUUUAUAAACUAAGGCAACUAUGCUAAUAACCAACUAUGCCAUACUCACACAUUAACUAAUAACCAACUAUGCUACAGCAUUCCAAUGGAGACCUCAGAUGCACAAGCUCAAGGACCACUGAAAUUAAAAAACCUUAUUGAGUAUGGCAAAAGAUUUCUUCCCACGUUUUGUGCAUCCAAGCAUCAUCGUCUGCAGGGGUUUCAAGUUAAAACGGGAGUGCUUUGCAGAGUUAUGACGUGCAGCCCAGGCCCAGAUUCAUUUGCCUCUGCGAUCCCUAAAGUAGGGAUGGUAAUGGAGCAGAUAUGGAUUGGAUCUACACUGCUUCAGAUCUAGAUCCGUAAUAAAAAUUAAGAUCCAUAUCUACUCCAGAUCCGUCAUGGAUCUAUAUUUUUCGCUCCAUACCUAAAUCCGAAACAAAAAAUAAAGAUCUAUAUCUGCUCCAAAUCCAAAAAGAAAAAUUAAAAUCCAAAUCUGCUUUAAAUCCAUCAUGAAUUUUAAAUCUCAAUAAUAAGAGAUCAAUAUUUUUUUAGAAAGAAAAUUUAAGACUAAAAUGCAUUGGUAACAAUUAAAUUAUAUAAUUUAUAUAAAAAAUCUAAUAAGUAUUAUAGCUUCUACUUUUACACCAAAAUAAACAAAUAAGAAAUAUAUAAAAUAUCGAUCAAAAGUAAUUGCAGGAAUAAGAUUAUUAUAAUAUUAUAAUGUCUCCUUUACCAUCUUGAUAUCCAUUGCACACCAUCAUCAUUCCUAUAUCAUUAAAUAAUAACAUAUAAGUUAAAAAUGAUUUAUUAUAUUCAGUGCUUUAUUAUUUUUAUUAUGAUCAUAUUUAACUAAAUAUAUGAUUAACAUAAUUAUUUCAUAGUUGAUAGCCACCAUUGAUUAGUGAUUAUACAAAAUAAUGCUGUACGGCCAAGGCGGAUGUACGGUACAGCAGCAAAACCACCGACUAACCAUACCCAACUAAUAAUAUCCUAAAUAACUUGGCCCACAUACAUUUAACAUUUAUUUAAAAAAAAUUCUAGCAAUCCAGCAUUUCAUGGACCACAAGACUAUAUAUAUAUAACCAACUAAACAUUACUUGGUCCACAUGACCAAACUUGCCCCCACAUGGUACCAUUUCCUUCAAACAUAAAAAAGACAAUUGAAAAGGGGUAAAGCUGUGCACAAAGGGCAAAGAAAUAUGAAAGAAGAAAACUUCUUCUGGAUCUCUAGAAAACCUUUUCGCAAAUUCCAUUUUCAAAUUAAAGCCCUUUCUAAUAGGGCAGCUGUAGUGAGGACGGUUGGUUUGCCCCGGUGACUGAACCUGCGUCUUCUCUUCACAACAACACAAUUUUCAUCAUCACUGCAUGAUGAGUUCCAUUACACUAAUAUUUUUGCGUGAUCUCCCUUGAUGGCCUUGACCUUGACCUUGUGUAGGCACUAGUCAGGAUCGCAGUAGCUAGAGUCAUAAUCCUCGCUCUCAGGCACAGCUAUGUUACUUGAGUUUUUAACGUAAAUUCUUUUCUGCUUUCUAGUCCUCAUCUUAAUUAUAAAAUAUUUUCUCCUUCAAUUUAAAGAACCCACAAGCACCAGGCACUAGCGGAUUCAAUUUUUGCCAAAUUUUCUUUGGUACGAAAAGGAGCUGAAACAGAGCAUUGACCUUGGUUAACAUAGAAACCCAAAUUAAAUGUAUAAGAUAGUAUACAAAUACUAAUAAUAAAGAAUCAAAUCGCAAUUAAAUUAUAUAAUUUAUAUAAAAAAUCUAAUAAGUAUUAUAGCUUCUACUUUUACACCAAAAUAAACAAAUAAGAAAUAUAUAAAAUAUCGAUCAAAAGUAAUUGCAGGAAUAAGAUUAUUAUAAUAUUAUAAUGUCUCCUUUACCAUCUUGAUAUCCAUUGCACACCAUCAUCAUUCCUAUAUCAUUAAAUAAUAACAUAUAAGUUAAAAAUGAUUUAUUAUAUUCAGUGCUUUAUUAUUUUUAUUAUGAUCAUAUUUAACUAAAUAUAUGAUUAACAUAAUUAUUUUAUAGUUGAUAGCCACCAUUGAUUAAUGAUUAUACAAAAUAAAUAAGAUUAUGAGAAAAUAAUAGAAAAAUAAACUCAAGUCUAUGAAUUUUCCUAACAAUUAAAGAACUGAUCCAAUCAUUCAAAUGAAGUAGAGAAGCGAGAGUAGACUAAAGAGGAAUAAAGAGACUAAAUUGUAGAGUGAAAAACUUAAAAAAAUUAGGCAGGCUAUCUUAAUUUUAUUUUACACUUGAUAAAUUUUUGUCUUAUUAUCAAUUAAGUACCUUUAAGUUUUAAGAUUCUUAAAUACAUGUUAAUGAAUAAAUUUUAUCAUCAUUUAUAAUUACAUAAUUGUUAAGAAUUUUUUAAAAUAAAAUUACAUUAAAUGGUAAGUGGAUAUGGAUUUGGAUUUAGGUAUUAAGAUAAAUCCGAAUUGCUCCUGAUCCACCUUAGAUCCACACAUCGAUAUCCAAAUCCGAUCCAAAUCCAUUUUAAUCCGAUCCAAAUCCGAUCCAAUUGGAUUUGGAUCACAUGAAUCUUGGGUCUGAUCCGAUCCAUUGCCAUCCUUACCCUAAAGGCUAAAGCUGUGCACAAAGGGCAAAGAAAUAUGAAAGAAGAAAACUUCUUCUGGAUCUCUAGAAAACCUUUUCGCAAAUUUGAUUAACGUGGCAUGUUCUUGAGUUUAAAUCGAAUCUAUGACCCUUGGCCAUGCAUGAUUUUUAUCUGUUGAUAUAAGCGUGUCCACAUUCUGUAUUCUCUAGUAAAGGAGUUUGUGCAUUUGGCUAUUAGUAUCCUCCUUUGACUUAUUAAGGGAAAUUUGAAAUUAUUGUGCAGGGACUUUAUCCACUAAUAACGCAAAUAAAAUUGUUAGCUAUUGACUACAAGAGGAUGAUUUGUUGUUAAAGUGAAAAUUGAUGUCGAGUAAAGGAAAAAUUCCCGAAUAUUUCCUGUGUGGAUACCCUCUCUCUUGAUUAAAUGAGAGCAGCACAUUCUGCUUUCUAGUCCUCAUCUUAAUUAUAAAAUAUUUUCUUCUUCAAUUUAAAGAAGCCACAAGCACCAGGCACUAGCGGAUUCAAUUUUUGCCAAAUUUUCUUUGGUACGAAAAGGAGCUGAAACAGAGCAUUGACCUUGGUUAACAUAGAAACCCAAAUUAAAUGUAUAAGAUAGUAUACAAAUACUAAUAAUAAAGAAUCAAAUCAUGCUAUCGUAAGUCAUAACCAAUUCUUAUUAUUUUUGACACGUUAAUUUUCCAUGUUUAUCACCUGGACGUUUCCCCCCCUUAUUUACUCAGAUUUACAGUGUUCAGCCGUAAAAAAUCUGGAAUCUUGAAGCAUAACAAGUAACGGACAACUAGCUUAUCAUUUACAGUCAUUUAAUUAGUAACAAUAAAAUUGCAUAAUUCUGCCCUUGUGUAUGUGCUUAAAGGAUUGUUCGCACCCCUAUGGUGUAUUAAUGGGCUUAAUAAAAUUAGUAGUCCGUUAUAUUUGUACAAAGAAGAUAUGGUACCCAUUUUAAAAGAUUAUUUAAGAUACCCCUAAGAAUUUCGUCGUUUUAAAUUCUUGACACGCAUACCUUUGUUUGUUUUUUUUUUUUUAAGUUUCAAACGCUGCUCAGGCGCUCAUCAGGAAUCAAUGGUCGUCUUAGAUCUAAAAUAUUGAAAAAAUAUCAUGAGUAGCAUGGGAUUGAAUAUUCUUACGUAGGGUAAAAGUUUAAAAAAUCCUCCAUCGUUGAAAUAUUGACAUUCUUAUUGUUCUCCAUCGUUGAAAUAUUGACAUUCUUACUGUUAUUUUUUUCUUUUUGAUUUUUUUAAUAAUAUUAUCUUCUUAAAAUAAUAUUUCUUUUUUAAGACAUUAUUAAAAAAAUAGAUUAUUAAUUUAUCCCCAAAAUAAAACAAAAACAAAAAGAAUAUAUGUUAAUUUUUGUGAUUAAUAUAUAGAGAAAAGCCUGUUAGAUGAUGUCCCUUUCAAGCUUGGGAUUUCUAUUCACAAAAAAAAAAAAAAAGAGGUUUGGGGUUUCUAUAUUUUGGCCCUUGCCGCACCACUUCCUGAAUGGCGUAUGGCGAACUUGUUCUUUCUUACAUCAUUUCCAUUCAAGCAUCGUCAUCUUCUUUAGGGGGUUCAAGGUUCAAGUAAAAAAAUGCAAGCUUUUCGUAGCCUUUUCCUCGAACCAGCCCAGUACCAUUCUUAGUUGCCUCAUCAGUCUUCGUAGCUGUACAUAAAAGAGCAAAGAAAUUGAAAGAAGUGUGUUAUGCAGAUGAUGAAACACUGCUGGAGCUUGAAAAUUUAUGAAAAUAGAGAAAGACCUGCGCUAGCUGCGUCGUGUGUCACCAAGGACUUGUGUAAUCUGACGGCGCUUGGAAACAUCAAUGUGUUAUACUUGAUUAAUUCCGUCAUCAAAUUACUCUCAAUGUGGGUAAAUCCAUACUUGUUGAUCCACAUUGGGACAAGUUCAGGGACAGAUGGAAUUACAAGGUUUUCCACAUUGAGCAUACGAAGAGCCUGAAAAUUAGAUUCGCAUACCAGCACCGGCGGUUGCACUGGCGGUUUGAAUACUAAUAUUGCAAAUCUCAUAAUGAUGACUAAUCAGAGUUCAAUUCUUAGUUGCAGUACUACACUUACAAAAUUAAAAUGUAAAUUUUUUACUAUAAUUAAUGUAGUAAAUAAUGUGGCAUUAUAACAUCUUCUCAUUGUGUCACAUGAGUACGCAAAUUAUUAUAUCUUAAUUAUAUAAGGCCAAGGCGGAUGUACGGUACAGCCCCUCCCCCCCAAAAAAAAAGUGAUGAUAGAGUUGCAAACUCUUUAUCAAAUUUAUUUUGUAUAAAGUGAUGUGAUCUAAAAGGCUCUUCAAAUAAGAUUUUAUUACUUAUUUGAAGAGCCACAUCAAUAUUUAAAGCUCCAAAAGACACUACAAUUAAGAUUUUUUAAAUAAGAAUUGAUUCUCUCUCUUCAAAUUUGGAGAGUUAAUUUCUCCCUCUUCAAUUUAUAUUUUAUUACUUUUCAUUGAAGAAAGAGAGAGAAAUGCUUUAAUUGUUAUUGACUUUUCCUUUUAAAAAAUAAUUAUUUGAUUAAAAUAAUAUUAACUUAUUUCUAUUUGAAGAGUCUUUUGGAGAAUAUCAUAUGUUUUCACCUUUCUAUUUGCCACAUAGGUAAGCAAAUAGGUAUUUGAAGAGUAAAAUUUAUAGAGACUUUGGGAGAUGCUCUAAAUUUAUUCGUUGAAUGAAAUACAUAAAAUAAAAAUAGAUCAUGUAAACCAACAAUUAUUUAAUCUAACUAAUUAAAUUAUACCACAUUAAUUUAUACAACUGUUUUUUUACUAUAUCUUUAAAAAAAGAAAAAAAGAAAGAAAAUCUAUACUUUAAUUGGCUAGUUGUUUUCAUCCAUAUAUAGAAUUCUCCUUACAAGGAAAGAAAUCUAAUACUUUUAUCAUCUUUAUCCUUAUUUAGUUUUCUUAUAAAACAAUGUAACUGUAAUAGUAGUGUUCUCAUCCCAUCUACCCUUUUGUAUAGUUGUCCUUAUCCUUCUUUGGGUUCUUUUUCAGUCCUAACAUUAAUUGGCUAGCCGUUUUUUCUAAUACAGAAUCCUCCUUGUAAGGAAAGAAAAUCCGAUAAUAUUAGCAUUUUUGUCCCUAUUUAGUUCUCUCAUGAAAGAGUUUAAAUGUACUAAUAUUAUUCUUAUCCCUUACACCCUUUUGCACAAUUUUCUUUAUCCAUCAUUUUAUGUCUUUUAGUUGUCUCUUAUAUAUUUUCCUUUUUAUGAGUUGAAUAUUUAGUUAUCUCAUUAUUUGAACAAUAAAAUACUAAAACAUGCACAAAUAAAUUAUAUGUGUCACUCAUUUAUUAGUAUGCCACGUUAAUUGGAAUACAAAUUAAGAUCUAAUUAUUAGGAUCGCUAGCCCUAUUAUUUUUAUUAUUAUUAUUUAUACUUUGUUCUAUCAUAUCUUAUGUUGGUGAUUGUCACUGGAUCAUUUCUUUAAAAUGCAUACUCAAGUUGUAAUACUUGUACUGUAAAUUUCUUGAAUGACUAUAAAAUCGUUUGGACGCAAGCUAGUUUAAUUGGUAAAAUCUCUUGAGUGAAAAACAAGAAUUAUGGAGUUCAAACCCCACUCAUACGAGUGAGAAAGUAGAGUAAUGAUAGACAUCCCAAAUUUCAUCCCAAAUGAUGUGUCAUUCUUUAAGUGGUUAAUAAUUCGUUAUGAAACCUAAGUAUAUUAAUUGAAAUAUCUCACCAACUAAUUGAUGAAUACCACAUCAUUUAGAAUAAUUUUUUGGAAUAAAAAUUUUAAGAUACGAACCGUUUUUGCACAACUGAAUCCUCCUUGUAAGGAAAGAAAAUCCGAUAAUAUUAGCAUUUUUGUCCCUAUUUAGUUCUCUCACGAAAGAGUUUAAAUGUACUAAUAUUAUUCUUAUCCCUUUCACCCUUUUGCACAGUUGUCGUUAUCCAUAAUUUUAUGUCUUUUAGUUGUCUCUUAUAUAGUUGUCCUUAUCCUUCUUUGGGUUCUUUUUCAGUCCUAACAUUAAUUGGCUAACCGUUUUUGCACAACUGAAUCCUCCUUGUAAGGAAAGAAAAUCCGAUAAUAUUGGCAAUUUUGUCCCUAUUUAGUUCUCUCAUGAAAGAGUUUAAAUGGACUAAUAUUAUUCUUAUCCCUUUCACCCUUUUGCACAGUUGUCUUUAUCCAUAAUUUUAUGUCUUUUAGUUGUCUCUUAUAUAUUUUCCUUUUUAUGAGUUGAAUAUUUAGUUAUUUCAUUAAAGAGUUUGAACAAUGAAAUACUAAGCCUGCACAAAUAAAUUAUAUGUGUCACUCAUUUAUUGGUAUGCGACGUUAAUUGGAAUACAAAUUAAGAUCUAAUUAUUAGGAUCGCUAGCCCUAUUAUUAUUAUUAUUAUUAUUUAUACGGUGUUCUAUCAUAUCUUAUGUUGGUGAUUGCCACUAGAUCAUUUCUUUAAAAUGCAUACUCAAGUUGUAAUACCAGUACUGUAAAUUUCUUGAAUGAUAAUAAAAUUGUUUGGACGCAAGCUAGUUUAAUUGGUAAAAUCUCGAGUGAAAAACAAGAAGAGUAAUGAUAUAGUCACAAACUCUUGUACAAACUUAUUUUGUAUAAACUGAUAUGACGUAAGUUUAUUGGUUGAAUUAAAUAUCUCUUAGUCCACAUGAUUUAUUUAUAUUAUUUUGUAUUUUCAUUCAAUCAAUGAAUUAAUGUCACAUCAGUUUGUACAAGAUAAGUUUGUAUAAGAGUUUGUGGCUGUAUCAUCACUCUAAAAAAUUUAAGAUAUGUAAUACUACUGAAGAAAAUAUUUAGCUAUUCCUAGACUAAUAAAUAAAUAAUAAUAAUAAUAAUAAAUUCUUUAUAAAACCAAAAUAUAUUAAUUGAAAUAUCUCACCAACUAAUUGAUAAAUACCACAUCAUUUAGAAUAAUUUUUUGGAAUAAAAAAUUUAAGAUAUGUAAUACUACUGGAGAAAAUAUUUAGCUAUUCCUAAACUCAAAAAAAAAAAUAAUAAUAAUAAUAAUAAAUGGCUACACUUCACUAUAAAUUUGCCACCUACAAUCUCUCAAGUUGCAGUUAACAAGCAUACAUCUCUCUUUAUAAACCUAUCUUCUCCCCUUUCCUUUUCUUACCGUUCCAAAGCUUUUGCCAAACAAACCAGAUGAACGAUAUGCUCUUCAAAAUACUUAAAAACCAGUGAAAGCUAUUGAAUGGAGAGUCUAUUUGAAUUAUUCAAAUGCUUCAGCGCGUUUCAUAUUGAUUAUGAAACAAAAGUGUGGCCUCUUCUUAUUAGUAUAGAAGAGAGAUCAAGGUAUUUGAAUUACGUCGGAUUAGUGAUUUACCAGAAUGUUUCCGUUGAAGCUACGCAUCGGUAUUUCUUUAAUCUUAAAUUUUCUUUCUCAUUAAGUGUGAAUUUCAAGUACUACCAAUCAUGUUUGACAAAAUAUAUAUACAUUGUAAUAGGGAAAUAAAUAUUUAUAUUAUUUCUGCGAAGAUCAACGAAUGCGGCGGACACGAGAAGGUAUUCUGCGUAAUUAUAUUCUCUCUUUAUUGAUUAAAAAAGUGAUUUUUUCUUUGUUUUGGAAAAUUCUUCUCUGUUUUUUUAAAACAUGAUCGCAUAAUUAUUUUCUCUGUUCUGGGAUCAGGGAACGAGAACACCAUAAUUUGCAUAAUUAUUAACAUAUUUUUAUUGUUUUGCCUUUGCCAAAUGCAUUCGAUUGCAGGUACUAUACGACGAGAAACGGGACUGUCCUUCGUUCUUGUGGAAUCAGCUCGAUUCAUUUUCAUACUAGGGAUCAAAUCUUUGAUUCGCCACUGCUGGAAUGGCUUGAACGGAUGAACUUUGUCACACAGUGUGCAUUCAAGCUGCAGCAUAUAUAUCUUCUCCUGGGGGCUUGUGUCACCAAGGACUUGGGUAAUCUGACGGCGCUUGGAAACAUCAAUGUGUUAUAAUUGAUUAAUUCCGUCAUCAAAUUAUUCUCAAUGUGGGUAAAUCCAUACUUGUUGAUCCACAUUGGGACAAGUUCAGGGACCGCUGGAAUUACAAGGUUUUCCACAUUGAGCUUGCGAAGAGCCUGAAAAUUAGAUUCGCAUAUCCGCACUGGCCGUUGCACUGGCGGUUUGAAUUACAAGAUUUUCAACAUUAAGCUUACCAGGAGCCUGAAAGUCGAUCAGAUUCGCAUUAGAACUUGUUCCAGGCAGACAUAUAUUGAAAUGAAAAAUAUGAUACAUACAGCUGAUUAUUAGUAGCUUCAGCACCAGCACUUGUAGAUUCGAUUUGGGCGAAUAGUUUCGGCGUCAUUGUUCCUUUGUAAACCCAUGGACCCUGUAAAAUUGAAGUGAUGAAUACUCCCAAGUUAAAUGAAAACUGGUUGUUGUAAAAUAUAUAUGUACUUGAUUGAUUAUAGGAGAACACACAUAAUGAAGUGAUGAAUACUCCCAAGUUUUUGUUAAACUGAACCGAUUAGUUCACAAAAACUAAAAUAAAAAUAAUUUCAUAAAAAAAUAAUCUAAAUAAAUCAGCUCGAUUCCACUUUACUUCCCCAGAUUAUUGUAUUCAAUUGAAAUAUUUGUUGAAAAGUAUAUUUAGAUUAUCACUGUAGUAUUGCGUGUGUUUAUCAAUUAUAUUUUCAUGAAUAUGUUUUAAAAAUAAUCUAACCAUUAAAACAUAGUUAAGCUGGCAGAUUGAAUUAACCAUAAUUUUUAUCUUUAUUUUAUCUUAUACGUUUACAUUAUUGGUUUCCUAUAUUUCAUUAUUAAUGUUUCUCAAAGCGAAAAUCAUAUUUAAAUUAUAAUAAUUUAAUAUAAAUUAUUAGUUUAGCGAAAUUGGGCUUGGGGAUUAAAAGGAAAAAAUUGGGAGAUCGAAUGACAAAGUUAAUCUCUUAACCAAUAACAAUAACCGUUCAUGCAAUCUUUGAGAAAAUAUAAAAUUAAUUGCUAUUUUAAUUAAUGUUUUCAUAAAAUAAAUAAUUAAUGAACAUUAGCAAUUUUUAUAUACACACAUACUUACAUAGAAACUAAAUGAGGGGCCUGUGGAACGCAUCCAAAGGUCAUAAUUUGCUGCACAUAGCGGACAGCAGCAUGUGUAGCAAAUAAAUGAAUAAAUAAAAUAAGGUAAAGGUCAAUCUAACGCCCUAAUCCAAUUCCAGAGCUUAGUUAUAGUUCAGAAUCCUGGACUGAAAAUUCACUACAUGUAUUAUUUCAAACAGUGAUUGAAAGGAAACGGUGAUUCAUAUUAUCUAGGAUAUUUAAAAGGAGGCCAUCACUUUAAAAUUUGAACAUGCAAGGGAUAUUAUUCGGCUUUUCAAGUACCGAUCUCCAAGAAUCACUGGCCAUUAACCUCUAGGAAGGCCAAAAAAGCUUAGAAUUUGUAGAUCUUGAAUUCUUCUCAUUCUCAAGCAAUCGACAUAAAAAAUUGUAAUUAAUAGUGAAAAAAAAUGGUUGUUAUGUAAUCAAAGGUAAACAUUAAGAAAUAAUUUGGUAGCAAUGGAGGUUCCUAAUAAGAUUUAGUGGUCAAAGAAAAUUUUGUUUAGAUUGCACAUGGCCAAGGGUGGAAAAUGAGAAUAAGUAAGAAGGAGUAAGAAAAUAAGAACGAGAAAGUACAAUUAGUAGACGGGUAAGAAGAAUAUAUAGAGGCGGUGGAUAUGAAAUAUUGAAAGCGCAAGACAUGAGGCAAAUAGCGUGAAAAUCGCAAGCGAAAGAAGAAUAUUGUUUUUGGAUUUCUUCCCCCAAAAACCAUUCGUUUUCCACUACGCACAACAUUUGAAAAUGUAAUUGCGUUAAAAAAAAUGUAUAAUAAGAAUUUAUAAAUUUAUUUUGUACAAAUUAAUAUGAUGUACCUAUAUCGGUUAAAGUAAAUCUUGUGGAACAUAAACAAUAUUGUCAUGCCUAGUGACAUAACUAGACUUUAAACCCAACAAGGGUAAAUGUAAUUUACAUAAAGAAUUUGAUUUUCCUCAAGUGUUAUUAGAUAAUUUUAGAAUUAAUAUACUCAUUUAAGAUGAUUUUGAUGACGAAAUUAUAAUUUUGAGCCCUUUUUUUUGUAUAUUAUUCAAGUUGGUAGGGAGAUAAAAUUUUUAGUUGAAAUAAAAAAUAAAAUUUUUAUGAAAAAAUUAAUUCGGCCACUAUUUAUGGCACGAUAAUUCGUAUAAAAUAAAUUUAAAUAAGAAUUUAUAAUUUAGUCGCUGCCAUUAAUAUGUAACCUCAUGAUGGACUUGAACUUGUUUGUUAGUUUAUACUCUAUUAUCUUCAUUAUAGCUAUAGGUCUAUAUUAUAUGAAUUUCAUUACUGAGUUUUAUCUAAAAACUCGAAACGACAUUUAUGAACAUGAUUUUAAGAAGUCACGCUCUAGUUUUCGUAAGUAGCUCGGUUCAUUAAUUUGUAACAGUAACUAAUAAGGCCCUCUUGACAUAUUAAAAAAACUGAUUGGCUAUUAUCUUAUAAUGGUAGCUAGGUUACAGGCAUUUGGUCAAAUGUUAGAAACAAUGCAAUUUUAAAAAGCCAACGGGAUUCCAACACCCCCCAGCCCAAAAAAAUCCCCCAAAAAAAAAAGCCGAUGGUAAAAAGUCAUCAUCAAUUUUAUGUUUUGAACUCCUUAAUCUGUAAUGAAUUUUAAUUUUCCAUCUGUCUUGCGUAAUUAAUUUAAUUAUUACACACAUUAAGAUCAAGGUAACAUUUAUUUUAUGUGUAGUAAAUGACUUUUCAAUGUUUUGUUCUUUGUGUUCUUCACUCAAAAUUGUUCAAAACAGUAAUAGUAAUGGACAUAAAAUUACUGAUACGGCAAUUGCUUACUAAUCUGAUUUAAAUUCUUGUGUGCAGUACUACAAUUAUAGAGUGAAGAUGAUAAAUUUUUAUCAUAAUAGAUGUAGUCAACAAUGUGACAGUAUAACAAAGUACUGUUAAUCAAUACCAAUUUUCUUUGUUAUUUAUCAUGACAUUUCUCAAUGUGUACUAUGAGUUUAUAUCCCAAUUUUAUAAGUGUAUAAUUUUUUAGUUCUUAAAAAUAGACAUUUAAUUAAUAAGACACCCUGGUUUGAUUCAUAUACGCAUAUUCUGAUACUUACCAAAAAAAAAAAUCUGUAUGUCUAAUUUUUAGUCCUAACAUUGAUUGGCUAGUUGUUUCUGACAUUUUUGCCUAUAUAUAAAAUUCUCCUUAUAAGGAAAGAAAUCUAAUAAUAUUAUUAUCUUUAUCCUUAUUUAGUUAUGGCAUAAAAGAGUUUAAUCGUGGUAGUAUUGUUCUUAUGCGUCUACUCUUUUGCAUAGUUGUCUUUGUUAUUAUUUUGGUAAUCUAUUAAAAGAAUCUAAUUGAAUACUAUUUAUUUACCUUAGGAUUCUCUGGCUAUUAAUUUUCUCUUAUUUGUUUGCUUUCUCUCUCUCUCUCUCUCUCUCUCUCUUUUCAAAAUUCCAUAUUUAGAUCUUUCAUUAAAGAAUAAAUAGUAUAAACAAUGAAAUACUAGAAAGUGUGAUGAUAGAGUUACAAAUGCUUGUAAAAGUUUAUUUUAUACAAAUUGAUGUGGUAUAAAUUUGUUGGUUUGAUGAAAAUACAAAAUAAUGAAAAUAAAUUUGAUAUGUACGAUGUCAAUUAUACCUUCUGUACUCAUUAAAAAUUAUUUUUUUAUAUUAAAAGGUUAUGUUUUUCGAAGAAUAUUUAUUAUAUAUAUUGGUCAGUUGCUUCUAUUUUGUUAUAACAACGAUAUGUUAGAUUUAUAUUAGUUUAUUGCAUAUAGUUUAGAUCAAUUUGGUUGUUACAAAUAUAUUAAAAAGAAAUUUUUAUCAAACUGGUUAGAACCAUUAUAUAUGUUGACUUUGUGAUUCUUAAGAUAUGAAAACAUGAGGAUUAUACAAAUGAUAAAAGUCUACAAUGAUUCCAAUUAAGGAAACACAUAAUAGAUUUAUUCCUGUCCACAAUCCAAAACAAAUCUUAUUAUUAUUAUUUUUUCACUUGACAAAUAUUUUGUAUAUUCUUUAUUAUGUCUCCUUUUUUUUUUUUUGCUGAUUUUCAUUUCUUCUUUAAGUUGGUGAUUCCUGGAGCUGCUGCAUAUUCGUGAUUUGCGAGAUGAUGUUUAAUUCAGAGAUUUCCUCGUUUGGGAAUGUUACAGCUCUUGUGUAGCAUUUUGACUUUACCGAAUAAGAGACACUUCGUGAUCGUAUUGAUUUCUUGAUGUUUUUAACAUGCAUGGGACAGCUACAUUAUUAGCUUAUCUUAAGAUCCUUUUCAUUGACAAGUUCAUUGGAAAUGCUUCCCAUUUCACCCCAAAUUCUAAUUAUUCGCCUAAAAUAAGAAGAAGAAAGCUUGAUAGUGAAUCUUAUCAUUAAUCAAAUCAAGGAAAAAAAUACCUAUAACACAAUGAAGAGCACUACUUAGCUACUCAGUGAUCCAUUUAACUGCAGAAGCCAGUUUCUUAAAUUUUACUUAAUGGUAUAGUCCAAAUGAGUAAAGAAACAAAGCUAAUUAAUUGUGUUGUAUAUAAGAGGACAAACAUGACUAACAAAUGUGUUGCUUAUGAACAUCAAGUUUAUGGUUUGUUAUUUUAAAUAUAAGAUUAUAUUUAAAGAGAUUCCAUUUGUCGGAACCCGUGAAUAGCUCGGAAGCGGAGACUACAAAGGAAUAAUGAAUAUAAGAGAACAUACGGAUCUUUAGAAACUUGAUAAAGCUUAUUUAUUUUUAAAAUGUUGUUUGCUGGGACUAACAUCAACAAAAGUUUGUGUAUUCUUCUUUCUUACGUCAAAAAAAAAUAAAAAAUUGGAGUUGGAUUGUGGACCAGAUGUUAGUAUGUGAUGUAAUGAUUUAUUUCCUUUGAUAGGCUUUACAAGUCGGCUAGUGUUGACACCAGGCUUCAACAGAACCACGUAAAAUGUGUUGGCUCUACAAGUAAGUUAGAAAGUCAUUCAGUAGGUUAUUUUUAAGCUUGGCUUAAAAAUAAUCCAAUUGUUAAAAUUCUCAAAAUUGCUUAUAAUAAUUUUUUUUUAAUUUUUUUUUCAAUUAUAGAAAAAAAACUUUAUCAUUACAGACGGCCUCUGUUGGAAAAUGCUAUUUAAAAACAAGAAAACAUAUUUUUAUAACAUAUUAUGAAAAUAUAAAAUAAAAAAGAAAAUUACAAAAGUUAAAUCAAAUCAACGAUUAUUUUCGUCACUAUAAAGUUUUUUUUGUUGUUGUUGUAAUAACUAUCCCCUUAGAUAUUUAAUAAAUAGCAGCAACUUUAACCAGCUUCCUGUGGUUAACUUUAUUUGAUAAUAAGUGAAAAACUACGCAAAAUAUUAGCUAGACAAUAUCUAAGUGAAGAGGAAGUCUAAUCACAGUGAGUAAAGAUCAAGAGGAAGUCGGGGCUUAGGAACAACAAGAAGUGGAUUUUUUCUGGACGUUCUGCCACCAAAUCUUUCUUCCAUAUCUAAAUCUUCUUUCUUCAUAUCACCAGGCAAUUUCCAUUCAAAACCAUGCAAAAGAUUUGCCAAAGUUGACUGAACUAUUUUUAGCCCUAGUGCAUAACCAACGCACAUCCGCCUCCCAGAUCCAAAUGGCAAAAGCUCAAAAUUAUGGCCUACAACAUCAAUCUCUUUGCCGACGAAUCUCUCCGGACAAAACUCAUUAGGUUUCUCCCAGAGGGUUGGAUCUCUUCCGAUUGCCCAUACAUUAACAAUUACACGAGAGUUUUUGAGAAUGUUAGAGCCAGCUACUUUGCAAUUUUCUCUAGCUUUGUGAGGAGCAAGCAAUGUUAGCGGAGGGUGGAGACGCAUGACUUCUUUAACAAUUGCUUGUAUGUAUGGAAGGUUAACAAUGUCUUUUUCUUCUACCCAUUUGUUUCUUCCAAUUACUCUAUCUAGCUCAUCGGUUGCCUUUUGGAUAACUUCUGGAUUUUUUAAGAGCUCUGACAUUGUCCACUCUAAGGUGACCGCUGAGGUUUCAAUUCCACCAACUAAAAGAUCCUGAAAAUCAUCAAAAUAAUAAAAAGAAUAAUAUGAUUCAGAUUUUUAGUGCAAAAGACACUUGGAUAGUUUUAUUCAUGAUGUUUGCUUUUGUAGGACAAUGAACUAUUACUAAAAAGUUAAAAUCAUUAUAAACAAAAUUUCUUUUCAUUUCAAUGUGUGUGUGUGUGAUAUUAGUAUUCGUAUUAGUACAGUAUGCUCAAAAAUUACUAUUUGGAUUUUUAUAUUUAUACUUUUUUCUUCAGAAAACAAAAUAUUUCAUGAAUGAAAAUCAUAUUCAUUUUCUUUAUCUAUGUGCGUGUGGGUAGGGUUCUUUUCUGAAACAAAUAUGAAAUUAAGUAUAUUUGCACAUACAAUUUAAUUACCUGCAUUGAUGCCUUAAUGUGAUCUCUUUCAAGCUUGACUUCGAGAGUAGGAUCAUCAGCAAGCUGCAACAAAACAUCGACAAUAUCAUUGGUCCCAUGUUCCUUAAACAAUUUCCUCUUACCAUGGCGCUCGUGCUCAUGCAAAACAUGCUCGUAAAAUUUAUCAAUCUUCUUCUUCACAGCCUUCAUUCUCUUAAUAUUCCCUUGUAAAUCUAAGAAAGCAAGCCAUGGAAUUGCAUCUCCUAUAUCUAAAACACCAGGAAGCAAGAAUAGUUCAUCUACGAUCUCUGUGAACUGUUUUGGAGUUACAAUAUUGUUUUCAUCUUCCUCAGUAUACCUUUUCCCGAACAGCAUCCGGCUCAUAAUGGCAAGAUUAAACAUGAAAAGACGCUCUUUCAAAUGAACAGGAGUGGAAGAAGAAGAAGAAGACGAUGUUGAUGAUUUGUACAAUUUAAAUAAUAAUGCUUUUCUUUCCUCUAUCCUGAUGUACUCAAAUUGUGCUAAACUCUUUGGGCUAAGAAGUUGCGUCAUGUAAAUUUUACGAGUUUGGCGCCAAUGUGGACCAUAUGGUGCACCAGGCAUAACCAGAUAAUUGUAGUUUGCGUGUUUCCAUGCAAGAAGUGGUGGUCUACUAGCAAAAGUAACAUCAUGAGUUUUUAGUAAAAGUUCUGCUACUUCAGCUGAUGAGCCUACCACCACGGUUUCUAAACCGAAUUUGAGUUGCAUAAGGGGGCCAUAUUUUUGGGAGAGAGAUUGGAGGGAGACAUGAAGGUGUUGGCCGAUGAGGUUGAGGUUUCCGAUGAGGUGCCAUGGCUUUGGACCCGGUGGCGGCAACAAGUUAAUCUUAUUGCGAGAAAUAUGGCGGUAAUAUAACAAGAGGAGGACAGGCAGGAAAAAGGCAAGGAUUGAGUACCACAUAGUCGAGUUUGAAGGGUUAUCAGCUGUAGCACUACUAGCAGGAUCCUCCAUAUUUAAUAUAUUAAAUAAAAUCAAAAUCAGCAGUGCUAGAUUCAAAUUCUUAUUAUAUGUAUAAGGAUUGAUGAUGAUUUGAAUUAUGUUUAUGAAAUGGAAGUGAGAGAGGUAUUUAUAUCUAACGAUAGAACAACAGCCAUGAGCCAACCAACUAGAGAAAAUUACAAUUGAAUAAUUGAAUAAUUGAAUUUUAUAUUGAUUUGAUUUGAAAUUGACAGGUUAUCUUGCGGAAAAUUGUCCGGUUACUUCUUGUUGAUUAUAACAUUAUUGAUGCCAAGAUUACUUAAAACAAUCCACGGAACGUAUAGAGUGUUGAAAAGUCAAGCAUACAAUUGUUGAGUAAUUGCAUGAGAUAGUUAGCAUGCGAUUGUUGAGAGACAGCUAUCAUCCAAAUUUUGACUACAAUUGCAUGAGAAAGUUGGCAUCGAUUGCGAAGUUUGUCAAUUUAGUAAAUUGAAGACAAAUUGAAAUAGUGUGGUAGGUGAGCAAUGCUCUCUGUAAAUAGAAGGACCAUUCUUCAUUUGUUGCAUCCCAACUGUGAGAAUUGAGAGCAUAGUAAGUGAAGCAAUUUGAGAGAUUUGAGAGAGUUUCUACUUGAGUGUUCUAGUGAGAAUUCAAUUAGGUGUAUUAGGAUUGUGGGUUUUGAGAGUUUUUCCCACUUUUGUAAAUUUCCAUUUGUUAGUAAAAUCAUCUUCCAGUCUUUAUCUGUCGACGUAGGCUUUACGUCGAACCACGUAAAUUAUUGUGUUAUAUUUUUUUUGCAUUUAUUUGUCACAUUUAUAUUUCUCCAGAAGUUGCAGUCACCAUAAUAUUAGUAAUUGCUCAACCUGCGCUUUUGCAACAUAAAGAAGGUAAUAAACAAUUUUUUUAGUAUUGAUAAUGAAGUAUUCUGCAUCAUUUUCAAAAUACGACAACAAUUCAAAAGCAAUAGCAUUGAUAUUGAUUGAUAUUACAAGGGAUGAUAAUAGAGAGAAGGGGAAGAGAUCCACCUCCUCAACUAUUUCUCCUUAAUAAUUAUUUGUCAAGAAAGGUGGCUAAAUGGCUGCCAAAUUCUAGAAAUAGAAAUCUUUGAAAGCCAACCAAUCUAGAAGUUAUAAAUGUUGAAUUAGACAUAUGGUGGUGUUGCAGUAAACUUUGAAAAGAAAAAAAAAAUUAUUUCAAUAGCCAAUUUUGGCUAUAAAAGAGGGAGUUCCCUAUCGGCUUUGUGCAUUCAUUUAUGAGAAGUAAUUCCAUUUAGAGAGCAGAGAAUUUUGAGAACUUAAAUUAGAAAACUCUUGAAGUUUAGUGAUUUGAGAUAUUGGGUGUAUUGGGUUAUGGGUAAUGAGCAAAAAAUAUUACAAUACUUAUAAUUCUCAUUUCACUAGUAAAAUUUUAUCUUUCUAUUUUCGCCCAUGGAUGUAGGCUAAAAAUCCAAACCACAUAAAUUUCUGUGUCCUUUUUGUGUGCCUAUUCUUUAUUUUUCUUCUAAUUUUAAUUUAGUUGUAGUCCUGCUUCACCCAUCAAAUUUUUGAUAGUAGUAUCAAAGCUACUGGUUGUAUUUUAUGGAGUCAGGGGGUAUUAUUCACGUAUACGGUACUGUUCACGUGAAAUAAUGAGAAUCGAUCUUAGUAAAAGCAGUUCAUAGUGAAAGCAAUGGCGGCAAAAUAAGAAAUUGAGAAGUUCAACAGAAACAACUUCUUGUUAUGGAAAAUGAAAAUUGAAGGCUAUUUUGAGGAAAAACAAUUGCUUGACAGCAAUUAGAGAAAGACUUGGAGAAAUCACUGAUGACAAGCGGAAUACGAUGGACGACAAUGCAAUUUCUGAUCUACACUUGGCACUUGCAGAUGAAGUGUUAUCUAGUGUGGUAGAAGAAAAGACAUUAAAUGAAAUAUGAGAUACUUUCAUGAAACUGUACGAGGCCAGAUCGCUAUACAACAAGAUUUUUUUAAAGAGGAGACUUUAUACUAUUCGAAUGGUGGACACCACAUCGGUGACCGACCAUAUCAACACUCUGAAGACUUUAUUUUCGUAACUCACAACGUUGAGUCAUAAAAUAGAGGAAAAUGAACGUGCGUAGCUUUUACUUCAAAGUCUACUAGAUUCGUAUGAUCAACUUAUCAUUAAUCUGACGAACAAUAACCAAGCAGACAGUCUAGUCUUUAACGAUGUUGCAGUCGCUGUAUUAAAUGAAGAAAUAGGCAGAAAAGUAAAUGUUGUGCCAAAGACUAGUAAAUAACUGAUAACGGCACACCAAGAUCCACUCAAAGAAGGGUUCUUGUAUCUAAAACUAAGGUGAUCUUUACGCAGUUACAGGAUGCUUAAACAAUCCAACAACCAAAGCAAAUCAAUGAAAGAAUUUAAGAACAGAAAGAAUGACACAAAGAAAGCUUAUAGUGGUUCGGCUAUGGAAGCAAAUCAAUCAACAGCUUCCCGCCCUAAUUAACGGCUUAACAGACUUCUGAUAAGCCUCCAAGACACGUGUCUUCAUCUUGUUUCUUCUAAGUGAUAAAACGACAGUUCAAGCAAUCGUUUCUUUUAAGUGAAUCACAUGCGAAGUCACAUGUCUUCCUUGCACACACAGAUGACAUGAUAUUCUUGUCAUAUAGCCUUCUCAGGACUUUCAACUGACAUGUUAUAGUAUUGACAAAUCUUCAACCGACUUGUCGCACUUGACUAUAAACUAAUUUGUAGUUCAUAUUCAAUAGUAAAUAAGACAGAUAUGCGAGUUCGUAGCAAGCAGAGGUGCUAUCGAUGAGGAAAGGAAGAUCAACGAAACGUGGCCCUAGUGGGAGUCACAAUCAUGGUAGAUUAAAAUCAAGAAGUAAGAAGAAUGUCAAAUGCUACAAUUAUGGCAAGAAAGGGCAUAUAAAGAAAGAGUGUUGGAGUAACUAGAAAAGAAAAAAAAAAGGGUAAAGAUCCUAAGUCAUCAAAUGCUUAGGGGUGUGUAACAAGUAUCUCAAAUGAUGACAAAAUUCUCUAUAGCGAGGAAACAACUGUUACAGAAGGUUGGAAGCAGUUAGUUGAUAUCUAGUUUAUAAACUCAGAAGCAACAUGGCACAUGACUUCUUAGAGAGAAUAGUUCCAUAAAUAUGAACAUAUCUUAAGAGGAUCAGUGUACAUGGGUGAUAAUCAUGCCUUGAAAAUCACUAGUAUUAAUACCGUCAAAAUAAAAAUGUUUGAUGGUACAGUUCGCACAAUUAAUAAGGUACGACAUGUCAAGGGUUUAAAGAAAAAUCUCGUCUUUGGAACAAAUAGAUAGUCUUAGGUGCAAAACGUAUGUUAAAAAUGUGAUCAUGAAAAUUGCUAGAUGUGCGCCUAUAUUAAUGAAGGUGGAAAAGAUUAGUGUUAUAUUCCUUACAGUUACUGAUGAAACUCCAAUAGAACUUUGGUACUUCUCAAAUCUACUAACUGGUUUCUAUUGAGAGUUUUCAGAGAAUAGUGUAUUCUGGUUUAUAAACAUGUUUAUAAACAUGUGGCUCAUUACCUUUAGUGCUCAUAAGUAGAUAACAGUAUUUUGAAGAUGUUUAUGUUGGGAUCUUGGUUGUCUUUAAAAUUAGGAAGGAUGAUUUUCUUAAUGGUCUAUGUGUUGAAUAUGUUCAUAUGACUUUUUUAGUUGGGUUUUUAUUGAUAGACAUUUUUUAUUUGCUUCAGCAUGUGGAGUUACUUAUUACUGUAUAAUUCUACUUUGCAUCUUUGAUGAAUAGGAUGUUUCAGAGCUUUUUGAUAUUGUCUAGAGACUAAUUUAUGCUUAUACUGCAUUUCUUUUUCUUAUAAUAUCUUAUACCUUAAUCCAUAUAGUCUUUCUUUCCUCUCAACUCUUACCCAAUAAUUGAAUCAUUCUUUUUUGCACUUGAAGCCUAUGGCGAUAGAACAAGUAACGUCCAAUGAAGAUAGUGAGGAUGAAGUUGAUGAUGACAUUGCAGAUUUUGAAGAUCGGCGGGUAUGCGUGUAGAUUUGGUUGCUAUGUUUUGGUUCUUUCCUACGAUAAGAUUAUUGUUAGGCUAACAAAAAUUGCUUUCUUUUUGCCUUCCAAGUUAUGUGAAAUUAAUUUAAAUAUUUGAAGUAAUAUUUUGUAUUCUGUCAAGAAGGGUUUACUCCCCAACUCCUUUGCAUUCUUCUACAUUGAGAAAGCAAUGCGUUCUGAGGAAAGGACAUAGAGUAGGGCAUUAUAUUCUCUUAACUGCAGAGGCAUGGGGAUCAAUCUUUGAAGGAUCACUGUAAGAGUGUGUAAUGAGAGCAUGAAGAGUUCAAGUCAUUAUAACGAGUUUCUUAUGCUUAAUCUCACUAUGACAAGUAUUUACUGGCUUUGAGGAAAUUGGAUUGAAUUAGAAGAUAAGAACACCAUAUAGGUGGCUGUCUCUUCUUCUUACCUGUCAAACAAUAAUUUGGUCCUGUUUACUUCUGGCUUAUUGUUAUUUCUUGUAUGCUUUAUCAAGUUUCUAAAUAUUUAUCCCUUAUAUUUUGCCAUCAUAGAAUUAAUUCAACUAUGACUGUUUCAUGGUUGCUUUUGGCUUAGUUCUGUGGAACAGUAAGUGUAACCGGUUUCAGCUUCACCUCCUCAACACAUCCGUUUCCCCUUCCUUGUGUGCUCUCUGUCCCAGAUCUUGAACUGUUGAUUUUGAGGUUUUGUCUCAAAUAAAAUCAAAGAACCAGAAGAGUGAUUACAAUUUAUGCAAAUAUUAUAUCCAGAUUUCUGAUGCCUAACAAAGCUUAAGUUGGACUCUUAUAUGAAAUGUUUUCAUUUUAUGCUGUUAGGAACCUGGAAACAUUAUAUUAAAUUGGCAUGUUGCAGAUGCUUGAUGAUUUUGUGGAUGUUAGCAAAGAUGAGAAGCAGCUGAUGCAUCUUUGGAACUCCUUUGUCAGAAAGCAACGGUAGUUAUUGUUUCCCACUUAAAGCUUUCAAUUUUAUUUUUUUUGGGUCGCCCCAGUUCCAUAUAUUCUUUGUUUGUUUCCUUCAAUUCUUUUAUGUCAAGAUGUUUAGGAAAUUAAUGUAUAGGAGGUGAACUAUCUUAUGCAUUUUUCAUGCGAAAAAGAAAGGAAAAAAGAAAUAUCUUAGAAGGGUAUAUCCCACUGUGACAGGGUCCUGGCUGAUGGUCAUGUUCCUUGGGCAUGUGAAGCAUUUUCCAAACGUCAUGGACGGGAGCUUGUCCUCUCUCCAGCUCUAUUUUGGUGUUGGAGGCUGUUCAUGAUAAAACUGUGGAAUCAUGGCCUUCUUGAUGGCUGCACAAUGAAUAAUUGUAAUAUGAUUCUUGAAAAAUGUCGAGAUGAGGAAUCAGAUACUGGGAAAAGCUGAAGAGGACAGACUAACAAUCUCGGCUCGUGGGAGUGCAGAAAUAAGACAGUGCCUGUAACAUUGGUUCUUCUGUUACUCAAUUCUUCCUGAUAUCCUUUAACACAUUUUUUCAACACAUUUUUUCUACUUGUAUCAGUAGAUUGUAGAUGGAGUAAUUAAUUCUUUCGCAUACAAAGAAGUCAGCUGUAGUGAAUCGGCCAACUUGUCACUGUUGUUAGCUCAUUAUUCACUAUUAAGUGUUAUUGACACGAUAAUCGCCAUUUAUGAUUUACUCUUACGGAGGCAACUUAGGCGCCAAUCUAGUUGCUAAGAGUCAAUUGUAAAUGUUGGAGAGGGUCGCUGCUGUAGAUUGAUAUGUUAUAUAGCUCGAUAUGUUUAAGUGAAACUUGAUUUGAUCUUAUUCUGAGUACUGAUUGGGAAGUUGUCUCUGU